AGUACGCUUUCAGCGUUCGCUGGCACAGCGCCGAGCGCACGCAAUCCUCUUUGGUAAAGCGCACCACCCCAACCAUCUCAUCUUCCUCAAAACGUUCAAGCGCAUCGCUUAACCCCGAUAAUACGCCGCGCGGCAAAUCACAUUGGGUGAUAUCGCCGUUGACGAUAACCGUCACGUUUUCUCCGAGGCGCGUC
Molecule: antisense RNA, 194 nt
Filed under: Pseudocitrobacter vendiensis
Lineage: Bacteria; Pseudomonadati; Pseudomonadota; Gammaproteobacteria; Enterobacterales; Enterobacteriaceae
Description: Yersinia sRNA 251
Rfam family: Yersinia sRNA 251
About the family: Antisense to phoH gene. Trimmed on 5'end from the original size.
Source: RNAcentral